This is an RNA transcript of Octodon degus (degu), 1536 nucleotides long. It is a transcript of the gene named integral membrane protein 2B pseudogene, with no coding region annotated. Lineage: Eukaryota; Metazoa; Chordata; Mammalia; Rodentia; Octodontidae. The transcript has a single exon. The record is from RefSeq and is a predicted model, not a curated record.
CCCGUCAGCGUCCACGGAGUCGCUACCCCAGCAGGGUCGAGGAGGCUGCAGCUGCAGCCGGGAGCCCAUAGCCCGCACCUCCAGCCCGCUCCGGGGCGCCCCAGGCCGCACGAUGGUGAAGGUGACGUUCAACUCGGCUCUGGCCCAGAAGGACGCCAAGAAGGACGAGCCGAAGAGCGGUGAGGAGGCGCUCAUCAUCCCCCCGGACGCCGUCGCCUUGGACUGCAAGGACCCAGAUGAUGUGGUACCAGUUGGCCAGAGAAGAGCCUGGUGUUGGUGCAUGUGCUUUGGACUAGCAUUUAUGCUUGCAGGAGUCAUUCUUGGUGGAGCAUACCUGUACAAAUAUUUUGCACUUCAACCAGAUGACGUGUACUACUGUGGAAUAAAGUACAUCAAAGAUGAUGUCAUCCUAAAUGAGCCUUCUGCAGAUGCCCCAGCUGCUCGCUACCAGACAACUGAAGAAAAUAUUAAGAUCUUUAAAGAAGAUGAGGUCAAAUUCAUCAGUGUGCCUGUUCCAGAAUUUGCAGAUAGUGAUCCUGCCAACAUUGUUCAUGAUUUUAACAAGAAACUCACUGCCUAUUUAGAUCUUAACCUGGAUAAGUGCUAUGUGAUCCCCCUGAAUACUUCCAUUGUUAUGCCUUCCAGAAACCUGUUGGAGUUACUCAUUAACAUCAAGGCUAGAACCUAUUUGCCUCAGUCAUACCUGAUUCAUGAACACAUGGUUACUACUGAUCGAAUUGAAAAUAUUGAUGGCUUGGGUUUCUUUAUUUAUCGACUGUGCCAGGACAAGGAAACUUACAAAUUGCAGCGCAGAGAAACUAUUAAAGGUAUUCAGAAACGUGAAGCCAGCGAUUGUAUCACAAUUCGGCAUUUUGAAAACAAAUUUGCUGUGGAAACUUUAAUUUGCUCUUGAACAGCCAAGAAAAACAUGGAGAAAAAUUUAAUGCCACAGCAUAACCAUACCCUUUGUAUUUUGUGCAGUGAUUAUUUUUAAAAAUCUUCUUUCAUGUAAGUAGCAAACAGGGCCUCACUAUCUUUUUAUCUCAUUAAUUCAAUUAAAAACAUCUUUAAAAAAAUACCCUUCUUUCUAAGUGUAGUGUCUUUUAUGUUUGAAUUUGUAAGUAUAUGAAGUCUAGAUGAUAGUCCACCAUAGAUCUUAAGUAUUAGGAAAAAUUAAAAUUUCUUUAAAUCAUUUAUCUGGAUUUGUUUUACUCAUGCAUUUUCAAGAGAAGGGGUUAUAUAAAGAAUAAUCAUAUAUGCAUAUAUUAAAAUGGACCACCGUGACUUAUUUGUAGUGUUAGUUGCCCUGCUACCUAGUUUAUUAGAGCAUUUAAGCACAAAUUUUUUCCCUUAAUUAAAAUGCAGUAUUUUCAUUGUUGCAUUUAACUAUUUAGAGUAUGAUUUCCACCUUGAUGUUUCAUUAUCCCAGGCAUCUGCUGUAAUAAUAUUUUAGAAAUUGUUUGGAAUUUAAGAAAUAACUUGUGUUACUAAUUUGUAUAACCUAUAUCUGUGCAAUGAAUUAUAAAUAUCACAAAG